CAGUAGCCACGGUAAUACGGAGGGUGCAAGCGUUAAUCGGAAUUACUGGGCGUAAAGCGCACGCAGGCGGUCUGACAAGUCAGAUGUGAAAUCCCCGGGCUUAACCUGGGAACUGCAUUUGAAACUGUCAGGCUGGAGUCUUGUAGAGGGGGGUAGAAUUCCAGGUGUAGCGGUGAAAUGCGUAGAGAUCUGGAGGAAUACCGGUGGCGAAGGCGGCCCCCUGGACAAAGACUGACGCUCAGGUGCGAAAGCGUGGGGAGCAAACAGGAUUAGAUACCCGCGUAGUCCUGUCUCUUAUACA
This 301-nucleotide ribosomal RNA is filed under the name uncultured bacterium. RNAcentral's name for it is "partial 16S ribosomal RNA". It matches the Rfam family "Bacterial small subunit ribosomal RNA", at positions 509 to 809 of the family's 1533-position model. The record is from RNAcentral.